RNAcentral lists this ribosomal RNA (274 nucleotides) under uncultured bacterium. Its description in RNAcentral is "partial 16S ribosomal RNA". It matches the Rfam family "Bacterial small subunit ribosomal RNA", at positions 523 to 796 of the family's 1533-position model. The record is from RNAcentral.
AUACGGAGGGGGUUAGCGUUGUGCGGAAUUACUGGGCGUAAAGCGCACGUAGGCGGACCGGAAAGUAAGAGGUGAAAUCCCAGGGCUCAACCCUGGAACUGCCUUUUAAACUAUCGGUCUAGAGUUCGAGAGAGGUGAGUGGAAUUCCUAGUGUAGAGGUGAAAUUCGUAGAUAUUAGGAGGAACACCAGUGGCGAAGGCGGCUCACUGGCUCGAUACUGACGCUGAGGUGCGAAAGCGUGGGGAGCAAACAGGAUUAGAUACCCUAGUAGUCC